GACGAACGCUGGCGGCGUGCUUAACACAUGCAAGUCGAACGAUGAAGUUCCUUCGGGAAUGGAUUAGUGGCGAACGGGUGGGGAACACGUGAGAAACCUGCCUUUCAUUUUGGGAUAACUCCGGGAAACCGGGGCUAAAACCGAAUACUCCGUCUCGGCGGCAUCGCUGAGCCGGGAAAAGAUUUUGAUGAAAGAUGGUCUCGCGGCCUAUCAGCUAGUUGGUGAGGUAAUGGCUCACCAAGGCAACGACGGGUAGCCGGCCUGAGAGGGCGACCGGCCACACUGGGACUGAGACACGGACCAGACUCCUACGGGAGGCAGCAGUGGGGAAUAUUGGGCAAUGGGCGCAAGCCUGACCCAGCGACGCCGCGUGAGGGAUGAAGGCCUUCGGGUUGUAAACCUCUUUCAGUAGGGAAGAAGCGAAAGUGACGGUACCUAAAGAAGAAGCACCGGCUAACUAUGUGCCAGCCGCCGCGGUAA
This 480-nucleotide ribosomal RNA is filed under the name uncultured bacterium. RNAcentral describes it as "partial 16S ribosomal RNA". It matches the Rfam family "Bacterial small subunit ribosomal RNA", at positions 28 to 523 of the family's 1533-position model. The record is from RNAcentral.